RNAcentral lists this ribosomal RNA (253 nucleotides) under uncultured bacterium. RNAcentral's name for it is "partial 16S ribosomal RNA". It matches the Rfam family "Bacterial small subunit ribosomal RNA", at positions 524 to 776 of the family's 1533-position model. The record is from RNAcentral.
UACAGAGGGUGCAAGCGUUAAUCGGAUUGACUGGGCGUAAAGGGCGCGUAGGCGGUUAUUUAAGUUGGAUGUGAAACCCCCGGGCUUAACCUGGGACGUGCAUACAAGACUGGAUAACUGGAGUACUGUAGAGGGUAGUGGAAUUUCCGGUGUAGCGGUGAAAUGCGUAGAGAUCGGAAGGAACACCAGUGGCGAAGGCGGCUACCUGGACAGAUACUGACGCUGAGGCGCGAGAGCGUGGGGAGCAAACAGG